This 21-nucleotide small nuclear RNA is filed under the name Arabidopsis thaliana (thale cress). Its description in RNAcentral is "snRNA_12849". Lineage: Eukaryota; Viridiplantae; Streptophyta; Magnoliopsida; Brassicales; Brassicaceae. The record is from RNAcentral.
UCGAUGGAACAAUGUAGGCAA